Molecule: ribosomal RNA, 380 nt
Filed under: Bacillus amyloliquefaciens
Lineage: Bacteria; Bacillati; Bacillota; Bacilli; Caryophanales; Bacillaceae
Description: bacterial SSU rRNA
Rfam family: Bacterial small subunit ribosomal RNA
Source: RNAcentral
ACCAGGUCUUGACAUCCUCUGACAAUCCUACAUAUAGGACGUCCCCUUCGGGGGCAGAGUGACAGGUGGUGCAUGGUUGUCGUCAGCUCGUGUCGUGAGAUGUUGGGUUAAGUCCCGCAACGAGCGCAACCCUUGAUCUUAGUUGCCAGCAUUCAGUUGGGCACUCUAAGGUGACUGCCGGUGACAAACCGGAGGAAGGUGGGGAUGACGUCAAAUCAUCAUGCCCCUUAUGACCUGGGCUACACACGUGCUACAAUGGACAGAACAAAGGGCAGCGAAACCGCGAGGUUAAGCCAAUCCCACAAAUCUGUUCUCAGUUCGGAUCGCAGUCUGCAACUCGACUGCGUGAAGCUGGAAUCGCUAGUAAUCGCGGAUCAGCA